Molecule: ribosomal RNA, 872 nt
Filed under: uncultured bacterium
Lineage: Bacteria
Description: bacterial SSU rRNA
Rfam family: Bacterial small subunit ribosomal RNA
Source: RNAcentral
AGAGUUUGAUCCUGGCUCAGGACGAACGCUGGCGGCGUGCCUAAUGCAUGCAAGUCGAACGCAGCAGCUUCGGCUGGGCUGCGUGGCGAACGGCUGAGGAACACGUGGGUGACCUGCCCCAGAGUGGGGGAUACCCCGUCGAAAGACGGGAUAAUCCCGCAUACGCUCUACGGAGGAAAGCCCCUACGGGCGCUCUGGGAGGGGCCUGCGGCCCAUCAGGUUGUUGGUGUGGUAACGGCGCACCAAGCCACUGACGGGUACCCGGUCUGAGAGGACGGCCGGGCAGACUGGGACUGCGACACGGCCCAGACUCCUACGGGAGGCAGCAGCAAGGAAUUUUCCCCAAUGGGCGCAAGCCUGAGGGAGCAACGCCGCGUGGAGGACGACGGCCUUCGGGUUGUAAACUCCUUUCGGGUGGGACGACUCCGACGGUACCACCAGAAGCAGCCACGACUAACUCUGUGCCAGCAGCCGCGGUAAGACAGAGGGGGCAAGCGUUGUCCGGAGUUACUGGGCGUAAAGGGCGCGGAGGCGGUCUGCGGCGUCGGCGCUGAAAGCGCCCCGCUUAACGGGGCGAGGCGUGCCGAUACGCGCAGACUUGAGGCGAGCAGAGGGUGGUGGAAUUCCGGGUGGAGCGGUGAAAUGCGUAGAGAUCCGGAGGAACGCCAGUGGGGAAGCCGGCCACCUGGGCUCGGCCUGACGCUGCGGCGCGACCGCGUGGGGAGCAAACCGGAUUAGAUACCCGGGUCUCCACGCCGUAAACGAUGCCAGCUCGGCGUGUGGCGCUCGAUAAUACGCUGCGUGCCUUAGCUCACGCGAUAAGCUGGCCGCCUAAGACUACGAGCGCAGCUGAGUCUGUUCCCAGUCAACCC